Molecule: ribosomal RNA, 406 nt
Filed under: uncultured bacterium
Lineage: Bacteria
Description: partial 16S ribosomal RNA
Rfam family: Bacterial small subunit ribosomal RNA
Source: RNAcentral
AUUGAACGCUGGCGGCAGGCUUAACACAUGCAAGUCGAACGAGUGGCGGACGGGUGAGUAAUGUCCGGGAAACUGCCUGAUGGAGGGGGAUAACUACUGGAAACGGUAGCUAAUACCGCAUACCAUCAGAUGUGCCCAGAUGGGAUUAGCUAGUAGGUGAGGUAACGGCUCACCUAGGCGACGAUCCCUAGCUGGUCUGAGAGGAUGACCAGCCACACGGGAACGUAGACACGGUCCCGGAGCCUACGGGAGGCAGCAGUGGGGAAUAUUGGACGAGGGGCGCAAGCCUGAUACAGCCAUGCCGCGUGAAUGAAGAAGGCCUUCGGGUUGUAAAGGUCUUUCAGCGGGGAGGCGUUACCCGCAGAAGAAGCACCGGCUAACUCCGUGCCAGCAGCCGCGGUAAUUC